AUUGAACGCUGGCGGCGUGCCUAAUACAUGCAAGUCGAACGCACAGCGAAAGGUGCUUGCACCUUUCAAGUGAGUGGCGAACGGGUGAGUAACACGUGGACAACCUGCCUCAAGGCUGGGGAUAACAUUUGGAAACAGAUGCUAAUACCGAAUAAAACUCAGUGUCGCAUGACACAAAGUUAAAAGGCGCUUUGGCGUCAGCUAGAGAUGGAUCCGCGGUGCAUUAGUUAGUUGGUGGGGUAAAGGCCUACCAAGACAAUGAUGCAUAGCCGAGUUGAGAGACUGAUCGGCCACAUUGGGACUGAGACACGGCCCAAACUCCUACGGGAGGCUGCAGUAGGGAAUCUUCCACAAUGGGCGAAAGCCUGAUGGAGCAACGCCGCGUGUGUGAUGAAGGCUUUCGGGUCGUAAAGCACUGUUGUAUGGGAAGAACAGCUAGAAUAGGGAAUGAUUUUAGUUUGACGGUACCAUACCAGAAAGGGACGGCUAAAUACGUGCCAGCAGCCGCCGUAA
This 513-nucleotide ribosomal RNA is filed under the name uncultured bacterium. RNAcentral describes it as "partial 16S ribosomal RNA". It matches the Rfam family "Bacterial small subunit ribosomal RNA", at positions 30 to 523 of the family's 1533-position model. The record is from RNAcentral.